This is a transfer RNA of Cryptococcus amylolentus CBS 6039, 100 nucleotides long. It matches the Rfam family "tRNA". From Rfam's summary of the family: Transfer RNA (tRNA) molecules are approximately 80 nucleotides in length. Their secondary structure includes four short double-helical elements and three loops (D, anti-codon, and T loops). The record is from Rfam. NCBI's taxonomy places the organism in Eukaryota, Fungi, Basidiomycota, Tremellomycetes, Tremellales, Cryptococcaceae.
ACAUCGUUAGUUUAAUGGUAGAACUCCAGCUUCCCAUACGUAAUGUGUGGCCUCAGCAGGACAAUUGCUGGUAGCAAGGGUUCGAUUCCCUUACGAUGUA